Macaca fascicularis (crab-eating macaque) is the source of this 105-nucleotide small nucleolar RNA. The record is from Ensembl. NCBI's taxonomy places the organism in Eukaryota, Metazoa, Chordata, Mammalia, Primates, Cercopithecidae.
AUCCUUUCGUAUAGUUCAUAAGCGUGAUGACUAGGGUUUCACCUCAUGUGUAAGACGUGCCUCCCUCAAACCUUAUUACAAGGUCAGCACAUUACCUGUCUGACA